CUGGUUGUGUGUAAGGGAUGCAUUGUGUGAAUCUGUGUUUGUAUGCAUAAGGGAUGCAAAGGUGUGUGUCUGUAUGUGUGUGCAUGAGAUGCAUUGUGUUUCUGUGUGUAUGUAAGAAAAGAAGUGUGUACGGGUUUGCAUUGUCUGUUUCUGUGUAUGUGUGCAAAGGAUGCAUUGUCUAUGUGUGUAAGGGUUGCAUUGUGUGUGUGUAAUGGAUGCAGUGUGUUUCUCUGUGUGUAAGGGAAGCAUGUUGUGUUUCUGUGUAUGUAUAGGGAUGCAUU
Molecule: non-coding RNA, 281 nt
Organism: Pelobates cultripes (western spadefoot toad)
Lineage: Eukaryota; Metazoa; Chordata; Amphibia; Anura; Pelobatidae
Source: the annotation of a GenBank genome assembly